RNAcentral lists this ribosomal RNA (568 nucleotides) under Salmonella enterica. RNAcentral describes it as "partial 23S ribosomal RNA". It matches the Rfam family "Bacterial large subunit ribosomal RNA", at positions 161 to 652 of the family's 2925-position model. Lineage: Bacteria; Pseudomonadati; Pseudomonadota; Gammaproteobacteria; Enterobacterales; Enterobacteriaceae. The record is from RNAcentral. RNAcentral also lists the same sequence under 1 other name.
AAUCCAUAGGUUAAUGAGGCGAACCGGGGGAACUGAAACAUCUAAGUACCCCGAGGAAAAGAAAUCAACCGAGAUUCCCCCAGUAGCGGCGAGCGAACGGGGAGGAGCCCAGAGCCUGAAUCAGCAUGUGUGUUAGUGGAAGCGUCUGGAAAGGCGCGCGAUACAGGGUGACAGCCCCGUACACAAAAGCGCAUGUGCUGUGAGCUCGAUGAGUAGGGCGGGACACGUGGUAUCCUGUCUGAAUAUGGGGGGACCAUCCUCCAAGGCUAAAUACUCCUGACUGACCGAUAGUGAACCAGUACCGUGAGGGAAAGGCGAAAAGAACCCCGGCGAGGGGAGUGAAAAAGAACCUGAAACCGUGUACGUACAAGCAGUGGGAGCCCCACCACCAAAGCGUUUCGCUUUGUGUGGUGCACAAAGAAGCGUAACGACAGCACUGAAUGACGGUUAACGGAGCGCAAGCGACGUUCAACAUACAAAGUCAAGCAGUGGAGCGCUUUGGGGUGGGGUGACUGCGUACCUUUUGUAUAAUGGGUCAGCGACUUAUAUUCUGUAGCAAGGUUAACCG